GGAUGCGAUCAUACCAGCACUAAAGCACCAGAUCCCAUCAGAACUCCGAAGUUAAGCUUGCUUGGGCGAGAGUAGUACUAGGAUGGGUGACCUCCUGGGAAGUCCUCGUGUUGCAUUCC
This 119-nucleotide ribosomal RNA is filed under the name Triticum dicoccoides. The record is from RNAcentral. Lineage: Eukaryota; Viridiplantae; Streptophyta; Magnoliopsida; Poales; Poaceae.